UACCGGCAGCUCAAGUGAUGACCGAUUUUAUUGGGCCUAAAGCGUCCGUAGCUGGCCGCGCAAGUCUGUCGGGAAAUCCACCCGCUCAACGGGUGGGCGUCCGGCGGAAACUGUGCGGCUUGGGACAGGAAGGCUCGAGGGGUACGUUCGGGGUAGGAGUGAAAUCCCGUAAUCCUGAACGGACCACCGAUGGCGAAAGCACCUCGAGAGGACUGAUCCGACAGUGAGGGACGAAAGCUGGGGUCUCGAACCGG
Molecule: ribosomal RNA, 254 nt
Filed under: uncultured Halolamina sp.
Lineage: Archaea; Methanobacteriati; Methanobacteriota; Halobacteria; Halobacteriales; Haloferacaceae
Description: partial 16S ribosomal RNA
Rfam family: Archaeal small subunit ribosomal RNA
Source: RNAcentral